RNAcentral lists this ribosomal RNA (497 nucleotides) under uncultured bacterium. Its description in RNAcentral is "partial 16S ribosomal RNA". It matches the Rfam family "Bacterial small subunit ribosomal RNA", at positions 28 to 507 of the family's 1533-position model. The record is from RNAcentral.
GAUGAACGCUGGCGGCGUGCCUAAUACAUGCAAGUCGAGCGAACAGACGAGGAGCUUGCUCCUCUGACGUUAGCGGCGGACGGGUGAGUAACACGUGGAUAACCUACCUAUAAGACUGGGAUAACUUCGGGAAACCGGAGCUAAUACCGGAUAAUAUAUUGAACCGCAUGGUUCAAUAGUGAAAGACGGUUUUGCUGUCACUUAUAGAUGGAUCCGCGCCGCAUUAGCUAGUUGGUAAGGUAACGGCUUACCAAGGCAACGCUGCGUAGGCGACCGGAGAGGGUGAUCGGCCACACGGGAACUGAGACACGGUCAAGACUCCUACGGGAGGCAGCAGUAGGGAAUCUUCCGCAAUGGGCGAAAGCCUGACGGAGCAACGCCGCGUGAGUGAUGAAGGUCUUCGGAUCGUAAAACUCUGUUAUUAGGGAAGAACAAAUGUGUAAGUAACUAUGCACGUCUUGACGGUACCUAAUCAGAAAGCCACGGCUAACUACGUG